This 497-nucleotide ribosomal RNA is filed under the name uncultured bacterium. RNAcentral's name for it is "partial 16S ribosomal RNA". It matches the Rfam family "Bacterial small subunit ribosomal RNA", at positions 28 to 507 of the family's 1533-position model. The record is from RNAcentral.
GAUGAACGCUGGCGGCGUGCCUAAUACAUGCAAGUCGAGCGAACGGACGAGAAGCUUGCUUCUCUGAUGUUAGCGGCGGACGGGUGAGUAACACGUGGAUAACCUACCUAUAAGACUGGGAUAACUUCGGGAAACCGUAGCUAAUACCGGAUAAUAUUUUGAACCGCAUGGUUCAAAAGUGAAAGACGGUCUUGCUGUCACUUAUAGAUGGAUCCGCGCUGCAUUAGCUAGAUGGUAAGGUAACGGCUUACCAAGGCAACGAUGCAUAGCCGACCUGAGAGGGUGAUCGGCCACACUGGAACUGAGACACGGUCCAGACUCCUACGGGAGGCAGCAGUAGGGAAUCUUCCGCAAUGGGCGAAAGCCUGACGGAGCAACGCCGCGUGAGUGAUGAAGGUCUUCGGAUCGUAAAACUCUGUUAUUAGGGAAGAACAUAUGUGUAAGUAACUGUGCACAUCUUGACGGUACCUAAUCAGAAAGCCACGGCUAACUACGUG